Molecule: ribosomal RNA, 250 nt
Filed under: uncultured bacterium
Lineage: Bacteria
Description: partial 16S ribosomal RNA
Rfam family: Bacterial small subunit ribosomal RNA
Source: RNAcentral
GUCGAGCGGCGGACGGGUGAGUAACGCGUAGGAAUCUACCCAGUAGAGGGGGAUAGCCCGGGGAAACUCGGAUUAAUACCGCAUACGCCCUAAGGGGGAAAGGAGGGGAUCUGUUUACAGACCUUUCGCUAUUAGAUGAGCCUGCGUGAGAUUAGCUAGUUGGUGGGGUAAAGGCUCACCAAGGCGACGAUCUCUAGCUGGUCUGAGAGGAUGAUCAGCCACACUGGGACUGAGACACGGCCCAGACUCC